This 812-nucleotide long non-coding RNA is filed under the name Zostera marina. Its description in RNAcentral is "long non-coding RNA (ZMAR_LNC003928)". The record is from RNAcentral. Lineage: Eukaryota; Viridiplantae; Streptophyta; Magnoliopsida; Alismatales; Zosteraceae.
GCCCAUGUUUUCUCACAUUAAAAUUCAAUAUGCAAUCCAAUUAAAUAAAUGAAAACAUUCAAAUAUGUCCUCACAAUUUUUUAAAGAAAAUACAAAGCCAAAAAAAACAGUCAAAAGAAAUAUAAACAUGUCAAAAGAAACCAUUCCAGAAAUCAGACAUCAUCAGACGCAGGUUGAAAUCUGAAUCUGAAUUCUGUUUCGAUUCCGCAGAGAACUGAUCAAGAAGUCCAUCUUCUAAAUCAUCCAAAGUAAUUGUAACCAAGCUUUCAGCUUCACCCCAAUCAAACCCAAGUCUAUGAUCCAAAUUCUCUCUAGCAUUUUCAAGCAAAGGAACCACCAGACCUCCAUUCAUCUCCUUUCUCUGCUUCUCUGUCGUUCUCGCUUCGAUUAGAUCCGCAACAGCUUCCACUGUGCAGGUAGGAUGUAACUUGAAUCCAUAGAAAGGGCUAGUUUCAGACUGAUCAUUCAUUUUUAUGUGCAGAAUUUGAGCCAGCUCCAAUGGAUUGAAAUUUUCAAAGUAAAAAAAUUUGGUCACUCUCCUGCAGAAACCUUCAUUUGAUGCUAUGACUCGCUUCAUUGGAUCCUUGUAGCCAGCAAAGACAACAACAAUCCUCCCACUGUCCAUUACUGACAUUAUUUCUUCCAAAGCUUCCAAUCCGUAAUCCUUAUCGUCCGAUUUCUGAUUUGGUAUCAACCUGUAUGCCUCAUCGACAAACAAAAUCCCCCCCUCAGCUUCUUUUAUCUGUAUACAAUGAAUCCAAUUCCUCUCCAAUUAAACAUGGCUAAAUUCUUAAAUCCUUCUUUGUUUAGAA